This 1637-nucleotide long non-coding RNA is filed under the name Canis lupus familiaris (dog). RNAcentral's name for it is "lncRNA (ENSCAFG00845027055.1)". Lineage: Eukaryota; Metazoa; Chordata; Mammalia; Carnivora; Canidae. The record is from RNAcentral.
ACAAUGCGCUAAAUAUUACAGCAAGUAGCCUGCUGGGAUUUGGACAAUCAUUUAUUUUCAAUUAAAAUUCACAGUAAAGUUUGAAAAUAUGAUCCUGUACUUCCACCAAUUUAAGCAUGAUUUCUGACAUAAGUGGCACAUUUGAAGGAAACCAAAGCAAAACUGGAAUUUUCAUUGUUUACAAUGUACCUCCUGGAUACGAAAUAAGCCUGAGAUUGUAGUAAGUCUUUACAAGAUGGACAUCUUUACAAGAUGGAUCAUUUUUCUCUAUUUUUCUCUAUUUUCUCUAUCAUUUUUCUCUAUUUUCUCGAUUUCAUUUUUUCUCUAUUUUUAUUUAUCAUAAAAACAAUAUUACUGCACGAAGGGAAAAGGUUAAAUUGACCCACAAAUCCGCCACCCUCCCAUCUUCUCUGCGGAUGCUUCAGAUCUUUAUCCACAAAUAUAACUUUUACGUGGUUAUAACUGGCGUAUUUACACAAUUUGGGGGAAAACCACUAUUUAAAUACUCAUGUCCAGGACUAUAGGCAGACUCCUCUUUUAGGAAAUCACCCAGUGUAACACCUACACUAUGCCUCGCAAUCCCCAAAUACCCAAGAGCUUAGAACUUGAUGACGAAACCGCAACUGCCUCUCUUGCCUUCUCCACCUGAGUACAUGAACUAAAGAUGAGGCUCACCUUAGCCUGGGUUCAUCUGCUCUAAAACGGGGAUGCGAGGCAUCUAGGCUGCUGGGGCCUUGGCUGUUUGGCGCGUCGUCUGUGUACGGUCUCGCUAAAACCUUCAAAUCACACGUCUGACAGCCCCAUACUAACCUAAGCAGCAGCCACAGUGGCUCUUUAUCAUUGCACUCUCCUUGAACUUGUCUGAGAGGCAAGGUAGCUCAUACAAGCAGCAGGCAAGGGGAAUCUGCAGCUACGUACACUUCACCCCUCCGCAGCACGGUUUAGGUGGGUAGGUUCUGCGAUCGCAGAAAACCAGCCUGGGCCCAUGAGAUGACCAGCGUGUGAUGCUGGGCCAACCCUUUUGCCCUCUGCCGGUUAACACCACUGGAAAACGUGAAAUGGAUAUUUGCCUUCUGUCUCUUUGAGGAUAUGAUGGCAAAACCAAAAUACAACGGAAGAAAAUCCUCAGGUAAAAACCAGGUACUAGAUUUCUUAAAUAAGAGAACUCGCCUUAAUCAACUCACAGUGAUUAGGGCACACAACUCAUUACUAACCUGCACACUAAAAGGUCUCUGUCUCGUUCCGAUGAACAGUUAUAAAUGGGUUCACCCUUCCAGUAAUGCUCCAAGAACCCAUCGGGAAAGCAUGCGGAACCCGUUUCACUUAGUGACACACUGACAUCUAGUGGAGAUUUAUGGCGCGCUGUGGGACUGCACACCCCAGAACAGCUGCAGAGUUCGGCCGCCCGAGAGGAGCAGAGGCUCCUUGUUGGUCUUUAUCCACAGCAGCAAGAAUAGAUACAAAUGGACUUUAAAAGAAAAGUCCACUUCUCGUAUGUUUGGAUUUUUGCUUGUUACCCACCUGAAAACACUGGCCAAAGUCGCAAGAUGCUGAAAUGACGCGGGAUGAUGAUACGAGGGGGUGGCAAAGAGCUGGUUAGCUUUGCAGUUGUGAGACAGGUAUCCCCAAAACCCUGC